GGGGCCGUAGCUCAGCCAGGCAGAGCGGCGGGCUCCAGACCCGUAGGGCGGGGGUUCAAAUCCCUCCGGCCCCACCA
RNAcentral lists this transfer RNA (77 nucleotides) under Pyrobaculum aerophilum. RNAcentral describes it as "tRNA-Trp". It matches the Rfam family "tRNA". Rfam says of the family: Transfer RNA (tRNA) molecules are approximately 80 nucleotides in length. RNAcentral also lists the same sequence under 5 other names. The record is from RNAcentral. Lineage: Archaea; Thermoproteati; Thermoproteota; Thermoprotei; Thermoproteales; Thermoproteaceae.